Molecule: long non-coding RNA, 1477 nt
Filed under: Sorghum bicolor (sorghum)
Lineage: Eukaryota; Viridiplantae; Streptophyta; Magnoliopsida; Poales; Poaceae
Description: long non-coding RNA (SBIC_LNC007769)
Source: RNAcentral
CUGACAGCAGGGCCGUCGGAAGCGAUAGAUCUGCUGGCUGCAGGCGGAUGUAGGCAGUAGGGGAGGGGCCGGCCGGCCAGGGCGGCUGGCAGCCAAGUGCUAGGCGCACGAUCAUGGUGAGAGGAGGGCCGGGCCGCCCCUGGCUCUGGAUCGAGAUGUGGCCACCGCUGGCUCGCCGGGGACUUGGGGUCCUCGUUUGGCUCGCUAGAUCAGGAAGGCGCCGCCGUGCUGGACUGCCGGAGGACGGAGGUGGCCCGACAGGAGGCCGGAGGCGCUAGGCAGCGGAGGUGGGGUCACGGCGAGCCAGUGCCGGGGAUGGCGCGUCUCACGAAGUCCCAAUCGGGGCAAGGGGCGAGGUCCGCGCGGGGCGAGGUCCGCGCGCCGAGGGAGGAGGCGGGCGAGGUCCGCGCGGGGCGAGGUCCGUGCGGCGAGGGAGGAGGCGGGCGAGGUCCGCGCGCCGAGGGAGGAGGCGGGCGAGGGCGAGGUCCGCGGGAGGUGGGCGAGGGGGGCGCGCGGGACGACGUUCGCAGGAGGCAGGAUGAAAGCGGGAGGGGAAAAUGUCGCACCAAAACGAUGUCCCCUCUUUAGUCUUUUUAGUUGUAGGAGAUAUGGAGUGGUGGUUGUCAGAUCAACAACAAGCUUCAAAUCAAAUUAUAUUGAAGCAUGGUGAGUAUAGAUAGCUACGAGCCCACACAAGUCUUGGCUAUGAAAGUGCCCAUUGCAAUUAUUAAUAGAUACUACUGCAUAAACUUUUUUGGACGUAGGCAAAAUGGAGUAACCGAGGCUGACAUCACAACCACCUCGGUCCAAAGGUCAAAGUAAAUCAAUCUUUUCCAAGGUAGUUCAAAUGCCCGCCUCGUUAAAUCAAAUAAAAAAAGAGCAAACCCGUGGACAAGCCCACCGAGCCCAUCCACAAGCCCCCUGAGCCCAUCCACGGCCGCCACUGAUCCCACCGCACCAGACACCACCGAAGAAAGGCCAAGCCCUGUGUCACGCAUCCACCACUGGAUCCGAUUGCACCACUAUUGGAUCCGUGCCUGUCUCCAGAACUAGAUCCGCCGCUGAGGCAGCAUGUGCGGCCAAAAUCCGGCCACUCCACCACAAGAUCCUAUGCAUGGGGAGGAGGAGCACUGGAUCAGAGGGAGAGGGGUGCCACAACAGCUAUUGGAGGGUGGUGGAGGGUGCCGCUGCUGCAGGAGGCCCUGCAGCCUCGCCCGCGCCACCACAAGAGGCUCCACGACGUAGCCUACCGGGAAUCACACUCGCUAGGGAGAGGGAGAGGUGCUGCCAUUACCGAGGUGCUAUGGGCAGGGCUUGGCUUGGGGAGGGAGAGGCGCGGGUCUUGGGAAGAGGCGUUAGGGCUCGCCGGGGUGAGGGAGGCACAGGAGAGGGAGGGAGGGAGGGGGAAGGGAGAGGCGUUAGCUGUUGGGAGAGGAAGAGGCGGGCUCAGGAGGAAGGGAUGCACGAGUGAUGGCCG